RNAcentral lists this ribosomal RNA (440 nucleotides) under Populus deltoides. The record is from RNAcentral. Lineage: Eukaryota; Viridiplantae; Streptophyta; Magnoliopsida; Malpighiales; Salicaceae.
GGGAAGUCCUCGUGUUGCACCCCUUCUUUUUGCCCACUUCUCAAUCCGGCCAGCCCAUUUGUCUUUCUUUCUUCCUUUUCUCUACCCCGCCUCCCCUUCCUCCCCAGAAUCUAUAGGGCUGGGUUAGCGGCCGGAGGCCCCUAGUCUUGUUCAGAAUGUCGUUUCGCUUCAAGAAAGGAAAGGUCAACACCUAAUUCCACAAAGAAUUUGGUUAUGAACAGUAAAAACCUAUUUUUUUCUUAAAAAAAACAAAAUAAAGAAUAACCAAAGCGAAUAAAAAUCCAACAGUCGGAUCACAGGUUACAGCCCUCUUGAGCCCCCGCCCCGUCGCGGCGGUGCCUGAACCGCCGGGGAUCCUCCCAUCGCUCCCCGAUCCUCCUCUUCGAAGUGCUUAUAGCAAUUGCGCGUGCAUGGACUAACGGGUGCGAUCAUACCAGCAC